This 429-nucleotide ribosomal RNA is filed under the name Verrucomicrobiota bacterium. Its description in RNAcentral is "Verrucomicrobia bacterium partial 16S ribosomal RNA". It matches the Rfam family "Bacterial small subunit ribosomal RNA", at positions 355 to 776 of the family's 1533-position model. The record is from RNAcentral. Lineage: Bacteria; Pseudomonadati; Verrucomicrobiota.
UAGGGAAUCUUCCGCAAUGGACGAAAGUCUGACGGAGCAACGCCGCGUGAGUGAAGAAGGAUUUCGGUUCGUAAAACUCUGUUGUUAGGGAAGAAAAAAUGUAUAGUAACUAUAUACAAAAGAGACGGUACCUAACCAGAAAGCCACGGCUAACUACGUGCCAGCAGCCGCGGUAAUACGUAGGUGGCAAGCGUUGUCCGGAAUUAUUGGGUGUAAAGCGCGCGCAGGUGGUUUAGAAAGUCUGAUGUGAAAACCCACGGCUCAAACGUGGAGGGUCAUUGGAAACUAAUAAACUUGAGUGCAGGAGAGAAAAGUGGAAUUCCUAGUGUGGCGGUGAAAUGCGUAGAGAUUAGGAGGAACACCGGUGGCGAAAGCGGCUUUUUGGCCUGCAACUGACACUGAGGCGCGAAAGCGUGGGGAGCAAACAGG